GCGGUCGUGGCGGAAUUGGUAGACGCGCUAGCUUGAGGGGCUAGUGGGCUUACGCUCGUGGGAGUUCGAGUCUCCCCGACCGCACCA
This 87-nucleotide transfer RNA is filed under the name Kaustia mangrovi. RNAcentral describes it as "Alphaproteobacteria bacterium R1DC25 tRNA-Leu". It matches the Rfam family "tRNA". Rfam says of the family: Transfer RNA (tRNA) molecules are approximately 80 nucleotides in length. Their secondary structure includes four short double-helical elements and three loops (D, anti-codon, and T loops). Lineage: Bacteria; Pseudomonadati; Pseudomonadota; Alphaproteobacteria; Hyphomicrobiales; Parvibaculaceae. The record is from RNAcentral.